AGAGGUGUCUCGGCCAAAGGUGU
This 23-nucleotide non-coding RNA is filed under the name Arabidopsis thaliana (thale cress). Lineage: Eukaryota; Viridiplantae; Streptophyta; Magnoliopsida; Brassicales; Brassicaceae. The record is from RNAcentral.